Dallia pectoralis (Alaska blackfish) is the source of this 72-nucleotide non-coding RNA. Lineage: Eukaryota; Metazoa; Chordata; Actinopteri; Esociformes; Umbridae. The record is from the annotation of a GenBank genome assembly.
ACCACAGUGGCUCAGUCGCUGGAGCGUACCACUUAUGCCUCUGUGGUUGUGGAUUCGAUUCCACCGGUGUUG